AACAGUAUGGCCUAAUGGAUAGAGCAUGGGCCUGAGAGUCCAAAGGAUCUGGGUUCUAAUCCCAGCUCUGUCA
RNAcentral lists this transfer RNA (73 nucleotides) under Ornithorhynchus anatinus (platypus). It matches the Rfam family "tRNA". From Rfam's summary of the family: Transfer RNA (tRNA) molecules are approximately 80 nucleotides in length. Their secondary structure includes four short double-helical elements and three loops (D, anti-codon, and T loops). The record is from Rfam by way of RNAcentral. Lineage: Eukaryota; Metazoa; Chordata; Mammalia; Monotremata; Ornithorhynchidae.